UGGGGGAAUUUUGGACAAUGGGGGAAACCCUGAUCCAGCCAUCCCGCGUGUGCGAUGAAGGCCUUCGGGUUGUAAAGCACUUUUGGCAGGAAAGAAACGUCGCGGGUUAAUACCCCGCGAAACUGACGGUACCUGCAGAAUAAGCACCGGCUAACUACGUGCCAGCAGCCGCGGUAAUACGUAGGGUGCAAGCGUUAAUCGGAAUUACUGGGCGUAAAGCGUGCGCAGGCGGUUCGGAAAGAAAGAUGUGAAAUCCCAGAGCUUAACCUUGGAACUGCAUUUUUAACUACCGGGCUAGAGUGUGUCAGAGGGAGGUGGAAUUCCGCGUGUAGCAGUGAAAUGCGUAGAUAUGCGGAGGAACACCGAUGGCGAAGGCAGCCUCCUGGGAUAACACUGACGCUCAUGCACGAAAGCGUGGGGAGCAAACAGGAUUAGAUACCCUGGUAGUCCACGCCCUAAACGAUGUCAACUAGCUGUUGGGGCCUUCGGGCCUUGGUAGCGCAGCUAACGCGUGAAGUUGACCGCCUGGGGAGUACGGUCGCAAGAUUAAAACUCAAAGGAGUUGAC
RNAcentral lists this ribosomal RNA (567 nucleotides) under uncultured bacterium. RNAcentral describes it as "partial 16S ribosomal RNA". It matches the Rfam family "Bacterial small subunit ribosomal RNA", at positions 354 to 914 of the family's 1533-position model. The record is from RNAcentral.